CACGUAGUUAGCCGGAGCUUCCUCCCCAGGUACCGUCAUCUUCGUCCCUGGGGACAGUGGUUUACAAUCCAGAGGACCGUCUUCCCACACGCGGCGUCGCUGCAUCAGGGUUUCCCCCAUUGUGCAAUAUCCCCCACUGCUGCCUCCCGUAGGAGUCUGGGCCGUGUCUCAGUCCCAAUGUGGCCGUUCGACCUCUCAGUCCGGCUACCGAUCGUCGGCUUGGUGAGCCGUUACCUCACCAACUACCUAAUCGGACGCGAGCCCAUCUCCGAGCGAUAUAAUCUUUGAUACCAAAGGGAUGUCCCUCCAGUAUGUUAUGCGGUAUUAGCGACCGUUUCCAGCCGUUAUUCCCCUCUCGAAGGCAGGUUGCUCACGUGUUACUCACCCGUCCGCCACUAAACUAUCCCGAGAUCCAUCCGAAAACUUCUCCCAAAAUAGUCCCGUUCGACUUGCAUGUGUUAGGCGCGCCGCCAGCGUUCGUCCUGAGCCAGGAUCAAACUCU
This 502-nucleotide ribosomal RNA is filed under the name uncultured Oscillospiraceae bacterium. Its description in RNAcentral is "partial 16S ribosomal RNA". Lineage: Bacteria; Bacillati; Bacillota; Clostridia; Eubacteriales; Oscillospiraceae. The record is from RNAcentral.